GCGCGAAAACUUUACAAUGCUGGCAACAGCGAUAAGGGAACCUCGAGUGCCAGGUUACAAAUCUGGCUGUCGAGAUGCCUAAAAAGCAUUUCAUAGCAAGGGCCGGGCAAGACCGGUGCCAGCCGCCGCGGUAACACCGGCGGCUCGAGGGGUAACCGAUAUUAUUGGGUCUAAAGGGUCUGUAGCCGGCCGGAUAAGUCUCUUGAGAAAUCUGGCAGCUUAACUGUCAGGCUUUCAGGAGAUACUGUCUGGCUCGAGGCCGGGAGAGGUGAGAGGUACUUCAGGGGUAGGGGUGAAAUCUUGUAAUCCUUGAAGGACCACCAAUGGCGAAGGCGUCUCACCAGAACGGACCUGACGGCAAGGGACGAAAGCUAGGGGCAC
Molecule: ribosomal RNA, 381 nt
Filed under: uncultured bacterium
Lineage: Bacteria
Description: bacterial SSU rRNA
Rfam family: Archaeal small subunit ribosomal RNA
Source: RNAcentral